RNAcentral lists this ribosomal RNA (460 nucleotides) under uncultured bacterium. Its description in RNAcentral is "partial 16S ribosomal RNA". It matches the Rfam family "Bacterial small subunit ribosomal RNA", at positions 338 to 795 of the family's 1533-position model. The record is from RNAcentral.
CCUACGGGUGGCAGCAGUGAGGAAUAUUGGUCAAUGGCCGGAAGGCUGAACCAGCCAUGCCGCGUGAAGGUCAGUGCCCUAUGGGCGUUAAACUUCUUUUGUGCGGGAGCAAUAAUGGUAACGUGUGGCCAGACGAGAGUACCGUACGAAUAACCAUCGGCUAACUCCGUGCCAGCAGCAGCGGUGAUACGGGGGGUGCAAGCGUUAUCCGGAUUUAUUGGGUUUAAAGGGUGCGUAGGCUGUGAGGUAAGUCAGCGGUGAAAUGCCCCCGCUCAACGGGGUGAAGUGCCAUUGAUACUGGCUUGCUGGAAUGCGGAUGCCGUGGGAGGAAUGUGUGGUGUAGCGGGGAAAUGCAUAGAUAUCACACAGAACACCGAUUGCGAAGGCAUCUCACGAAUCCGCGAUUGACGCUGAUGCACGAAAGCGUGGGUAUCAAACAGGAUUAGAUACCCUUGUAGUC